GGAGAGGCGGGGUCCUGGCCUUUUCCGUCAGGCGCUCAGUGGGGCAGCCCCGGCCCGGGGGCCUCACAGGGAGCUUUAAAUAGCGAGGCCCCAGCGGGCACCAUGCCACGUGGAGCGGAGCGGGGCUGGCUGGGGCCACGUGCGGGCGGCUGCCCAGCAGUGACCCCGCCAUGGACGAGCGGUGGGGUGCCCAGGUGGGGCUGCUGUCCCUGGGGAGACCCCCCCACACACACCCUGUGAUCUGACCUGGGUGAGGCUGGAGGAAUGGCACUGUGAUAUGCCCUGCAGAGACCCAUGGGCACUGGGGUGCAGUGAGGCUCCUGGCUGGUGCUGUGCAGUGACCGUGGAGUGAUGCUGGGGUUGUGGGGGUAAAAAUUCCCCAAGACUGACCUGUCCCACACUUCUGCAAGGACCUCCCUGCAGCCCCCUAGACUGGUGCCAAGACCCUGUGUGUGCGGAGCCCUGCACUGGCCCAGGAAGUCAGGAUUCCUGGGUUCUGUUCCCAGCUCUCCCCCCUUGAGGCCUGCUGAUCGGGGGUGUGGGGUUCACCUACUCUCCCCAGCAGCUGCAGCUCCUGUCCUGCCAAUAAAGUUGUGUUGGUCUCUC
This is a non-coding RNA of Chrysemys picta bellii (western painted turtle), 606 nucleotides long. Lineage: Eukaryota; Metazoa; Chordata; Testudines; Emydidae. The record is from RefSeq and is a predicted model, not a curated record.